CCUACGGGUGGCUGCAGUGGGGAAUAUUGCACAAUGGGCGCAAGCCUGAUGCAGCAACGCCGCGUGAGUGAAGAAGGCCUUCGGGUCGUAAAGCUCUGUCCUGUGGGACGAAACAAAUGACGGUACCACAGGAGGAAGCCCCGGCUAACUACGUGCCAGCAGCCGCGGUAAUUCGUAGGGGGCAAGCGUUAUCCGGAAUCACUGGGCGUAAAGGGUGCGUAGGUGGUUCCUCAAGUCAGAAGUGAAAGGCAGUGGCUUAACCACUGUAAGCUUUUGAAACUGAGGAACUUGAGUGCAGGAGAGGUAAGUGGAAUUCCUAGUGUAGCGGUGAAAUGCGUAGAUAUUAGGAGGAACACCAGUGGCGAAGGCGACUUACUGGACUGUAACUGACACUGAGGCACGAAAGCGUGGGGAGCGAACAGGAUUAGAUACCCCUGUAGUC
This 442-nucleotide ribosomal RNA is filed under the name uncultured bacterium. Its description in RNAcentral is "partial 16S ribosomal RNA". It matches the Rfam family "Bacterial small subunit ribosomal RNA", at positions 338 to 795 of the family's 1533-position model. The record is from RNAcentral.